CACAUCCUACGGGGCGCAGCAGUGAGGAAUAUUGGUCAAUGGGCUUACGCCUGAACCAGCCAAGUCGCGUGAGGGAAGACGGCCCUAUGGGUUGUAAACCUCUUUUGUCGGAGAACAAAACCCGGGACGUGUCCCGGACUGCGUGUAUCCGAAGAAAAAGCAUCGGCUAACUCCGUGCCAGCAGCCGCGGUAAUACGGAGGAUGCGAGCGUUAUCCGGAUUUAUUGGGUUUAAAGGGGGCGUAGGCGGUCCGUUAAGUCAGCGGUAAAAUUUCG
This 274-nucleotide ribosomal RNA is filed under the name uncultured bacterium. RNAcentral describes it as "partial 16S ribosomal RNA". It matches the Rfam family "Bacterial small subunit ribosomal RNA", at positions 332 to 604 of the family's 1533-position model. The record is from RNAcentral.